AAAGCCUCAAGGAUCAUGUGCAUCUUGGUUCCCUUUGCCUUUGGGUGGGACUCCUUGUGAGUGGUGUGAGAUCACCAAGCAUGCUUGAAUUGUAUAUUAUUGCUUUUCUCAUUUCUUUUAUUAAACCAAAAGCACAAAAAUAUGUCACUAACAUUUCUUGUUUGUAGCCUGAGCAAUCACAAAGCCAAGAGCUUCCAUGAGAUCCUUUGUACAAAGAUAUGGCCAAGAGGAGAUGAAAGCAAGCAUGGUAAUGGUUCCCAAAGCUCUCAUCCAUCAAAUAUGCC
RNAcentral lists this long non-coding RNA (284 nucleotides) under Lathyrus oleraceus (garden pea). RNAcentral's name for it is "Pisum sativum (pea) long non-coding RNA (PSAT_LNC015768)". Lineage: Eukaryota; Viridiplantae; Streptophyta; Magnoliopsida; Fabales; Fabaceae. The record is from RNAcentral.